AAUUUUGGACAAUGGGCGCAAGCCUGAUCCAGCCAUGCCGCGUGAGUGAAGAAGGCCUUCGGGUUGUAACGCUCUUUCGGAUGGAAAGAAAUCGCGCAGGCUAAUACCUUGCGCGGACGACGGUUCGCUCAUCAGAAGCAGCGGCUCACUACGUUCCAGCCGCCGCCGUAAGACGUAGGGUGCGAGCGUUAAUCGGAAUUACUGGGCUUAAAGCGUGCGCAGGCGGUGGAUUAAGACAGGCGUGAAAGCCCCGGGCUUAACCUGGGAACUGCGCUUGUGGCUGGUAAGCUAGAGUACGGCAGAGGGGGGUGGAAUUCCACGUGUAGCAGUGAAAUGAGUAGAGAUGUGGAGGAACACCGAUGGCGAAGGCAGCCCCCUGGGCCGAUACUGACGCUCAUGCACGAAAGCGUGGGUAGCAAACAGG
This 424-nucleotide ribosomal RNA is filed under the name uncultured bacterium. RNAcentral's name for it is "partial 16S ribosomal RNA". It matches the Rfam family "Bacterial small subunit ribosomal RNA", at positions 360 to 776 of the family's 1533-position model. The record is from RNAcentral.